UACAGAGGUGGCAAGCGUUGUUCGGAAUUACUGGGCGUAAAGGGCGCGUAGGCGGCCUUGUCAGUCAGACGUGAAAUCCCCAGGCUUAACCUGGGAACUGCAUCUGAUACUACAAGGCUUGAGUUCGGGAGAGGAAUGUGGAAUUCCAGGUGUAGCGGUGAAAUGCGUAGAUAUCUGGAGGAACACCGGUGGCGAAGGCGGCAUUCUGGACCGAAACUGACGCUGAUGCGCGAAAGCCAGGGGAGCAAACGGG
RNAcentral lists this ribosomal RNA (253 nucleotides) under uncultured bacterium. RNAcentral's name for it is "partial 16S ribosomal RNA". It matches the Rfam family "Bacterial small subunit ribosomal RNA", at positions 524 to 776 of the family's 1533-position model. The record is from RNAcentral.